RNAcentral lists this ribosomal RNA (433 nucleotides) under uncultured bacterium. RNAcentral's name for it is "partial 16S ribosomal RNA". It matches the Rfam family "Bacterial small subunit ribosomal RNA", at positions 29 to 507 of the family's 1533-position model. The record is from RNAcentral.
AACGAACGCUGGCGGCAUGCCUAACACAUGCAAGUCGAACGAGACCUUCGGGGUUUUUGGCGCACGGGGGCGUAACGCGGGGGAACCUGCCCUUUGGUUCCGAAUCACUCCCCUAAAGAGGUGCUAAUACCGGAUAAUUUCUUCGGACCAAAGAUUUAUGGCCUUUGGGUGGGGCCGCGUUGGAUUAGCUAGUUGGUAGGGUAAAAGCCUACCACGGCGACGAUCCAUAGCUGGUCGGAGAGGAUGAUUAGCCACACUGGGACUGAGACACGGCCCAGACUCCUACGGGAGGCAGCAGUGGGGAAUAUUGGACAAUGGGCGAAAGCCUGAUCCAGCAAUGCCGCGUGAGUGAUGAAGGCCUUAGGGUUGUAAAGCUCUUUUACCCGGGAUGAUAAUGACAGUACCGGGAGAAUAAGCGCCGGCUAACUCCGUG